CAGACAUUGCUGGACGGCUGCAGCAUCUGUACACACUUCACACUGCUUGUGUUUUCUUCCCAUGUAAGUACCUUGUCCUUUCAUGUUUCCCACCUCGACUCCCAAACUAUUGCCUUACAUGCCAUUUCCUAUACUCUGUACAUCUCUAAACUGUGAUUUAUAUUAUUUUCAUUUUUUAGCUUCUGAUCCCUCUACUGACCUCUCUGGCUACUCUUUGUCAUUACAGGUAUGUCUCUAGCCUCAUAUAUAAAAUAUUGGUUCAGCUUUCUUUUUUGCGAUCCUUCUUGCGUUUUUUUUUGCCUGCGGCAUCGUUGAUAUUAUCCUGUCCUCUUAUUUAUUUAUAUUUUGGACAGGUAAAAAUAUAAAUACAACCAAUAAACUUUUUACGCUGUGACACUUCGGGCCAAAGGUCUUGCUACGCUGUGAUUGAUAUUAGAUGCCAGUCCUCACUCCUCUCUUCACCAUCUGAGGUUUGCCAUGCGUCCCGACCGCGAUGUCCUUUUAAGGGGUGUGCUGAGCCGUUGAAACUUCUUGGGUGAAAAGUUGUUUGUUACACUUUCUGACUCCACACAUACUUCGGUCCCUGAAGAAGGAAACCCGAAACGCGUUGGGCCCAGUAUUCAUAUUGUGGACUCUUCACUCUUUUCCUACUACACCCCAUUAAUGUGUUGUUUUUAAACCUUUGUAUUAUAUACGUUUACUAAAUAUUGUUUGAUACCGUUCUGUUACUAUUAAACUAUUAUAUAUUUUUGUAUCUA
Molecule: long non-coding RNA, 758 nt
Organism: Rana temporaria (common frog)
Lineage: Eukaryota; Metazoa; Chordata; Amphibia; Anura; Ranidae
Exons: 2
Source: RefSeq, a predicted model, not a curated record